GCAGACUCCAGGCUCUGAGCUGUCAGCACAGAGCCCAACGCGGGGCUCCAACCCACAAACAGCGAGAUCAUGACCUGAGCCGAAGUUGGACGUUCAAUCGACUGAGCCACCCAGGCGCCCCUAAACCAGGAGCCUUUUUAAUAUAGAGUCCUCAUUUGGGGGAAGUUGGUGAUAUCAGAGGAGGACAUCACUUUGGAAAAUGAGUUAAAAAGAAAGAAAAGAAAGAAAGAAAAUCGAGAAAGAGGAAUUCCUGAUAUUUUCAGAGGAAGAAAUACCUGAUUGCUGAAAACAGUCCAUAUCCUGAACAGUUUCCUAGAAAUGCAACUGGUUAAUUUUUAUAAGCCAUUCCAUGCAUCAAACAGCAAGUUCUGAUGCUUCCAAUUGCCCAAAGAGUGUCUGAUAACCCCAGCAUUACAUAUGCUCAACAUCAUGUGACCCUGGUUCUGCAAGAAAGAAUAAUCAUGCUGGUCAUACAGUUUAAGAAGACAAAGAAAUGUGUGCUCAUUUUGGAAAACUUACCAUCUUCUGCAACUCAGUAAGACAGAGACCCCAGUGGAAAAGGGGCCAAGAUACAAGAUCAAAAUUCACAGAAAGGAAAAAGUAUAAAAAGCUAACAAGAAUAUGAAGAGAUGCUCAGACGCAUUAGUUGCCAGAAAGAUCCACCAUGGAAAUACGGCCAGGCCAACUUGCUCAGUGAUGAGAAACAAAACUCAUUUACUCACACCAUCCUGGCUGAUCUCCAGACUGUGCUAGACGCAUGUUACAUCAGCCAGCCUGUGGCCCAAGCACCAGGUGAGCAUGAGACCCUGAGCGAGCCCGGGAGAGAUCAGCUGAGCUGCCCUGCUACCCUAGAGAGGGAACCUGGCAGCAAAGGUUCUUGGGAGGUUCUCAUCUGGUGCUGGAGAUGAUUGGCUCCCCCAGUCGGUGAGGAAGGGAUCCUCCUGACCCAGCACCUAGACCAACCUCUGUUGGAAGAGACGGAGCUUGAGAGGCAUCCUGUCCUCACCCACAAUCAUGGUGCUAAUCAAAAGUGACCUUUAGGAUGAUCCACUGGCUUUGGAACAACUGCCUGGGACAUUUCCUUCCAGUAUCAGGUAUCUGUCUCCAGCAAACCUGUGCAAGCUGAGUAUCACCAUCUGGUCCUGGAUGCAUUUUGUUAUCAGUGCUGGAAGUGAUGAUACGGUAUGCCGCUGUCAUGUGCCCAGAGGAUGUAGGGGCCAGAGAGGACACUCAGAAGCAACUCUGCUACAGAAUUCUGCAUUUUCUCCAGCGGUACGAAGAGUGUGUUCACAGUUCCUGAUGACUGGUAGACAUCCCAGGGUGAGAAGUAUCUAGAAGACACAGUCAUGUGCAGUUCACAGCUUGACUCUGGAGAGUGAUCUCUUCCAGGCCCUCUACUACAAGGGUAUUUUCUUUUUCUGUCACUGUCACCCCUCCAACAGCAGAAGUUUCUGGCUCACCCACCGGAGAGGCUAAAGCUUGCCUGGAAUUAUAUUGCUUACAGAAUAAAGAGAAGUCAGAGCCUCUUAUGUAACUUGAAGAGUAGGAAAGAUCCAGUGAUAAAAACCAGUGCCCUGAACUUUUGCAAAGCACGAUCAAUCGCUGCGUACGAUCCUCCGGUCCUUGGCAAGAUCAUGAACUGGGAGCUGUGUGGAAAGACAACCGGAUUGGGAGCUAGUGUCCUGCCCUGGGUUUCUUCCAGGUGGCCCUACCACCCGUCAGCUGUCUGGUCUUGGGGGAAUAUAAAGAUUUCUCCUGACUUGUGUGAAUUUUUCCAGGGUCCUUUCUUUUGGAAAUGCUACAAGAUGGCUGUGUUUUCAGUGGUGGAAAUUAUCGAUAGGUCUCAAAAGCAAGGCAUCACAGAAUAUCUGCUUUCCAGUAGUGAUGUAUGACUCACCAAAGCCACAACAUUUUUUAUAAUACCCUUAGUUUUUUUCAUAGAAACAGAACUGAGAGUCCUAAUAUUUCCUGGAAUUUUUUUAAAAAAGGAAGGAAAAAAAGAAUUCAAGGAGAUGUCCAUUUGUUAGCCCAUCACUGGCACGCAUCGGCGUUAAAGAGUAAUUGGUGGGGUGACUGGAAGGCUCCGAGUAGAAUUCUCUGAAGGGGCAUGCCUGUGUUGACAGGGGAUGCUGGCUGUUGGCUGGGACUGCAGUUCAAUGGGGGUCAUUUGCCUCUCCAAGGUUCUGCAGGAAGGUGUGGGACUGGAAUAUUAAUGUGGCCAUUUUUGGAAAAGACAACCUGCUCCAAGAAAUUCUCACCUUUUCCAUGUCAUCUGUACCAGCUGUAGCUGCAGAGAAAAUGUGAAAAGUGAGCCAGAUUCUCUCAGCUGCCCAGCUGCACCUUCCAGGCCUUUCUCCUGUCUUGUCUCCGCAUAGCUACGUGAAUGAACUGAUCUCGCACCUCCAUGGCUGUAGAAUCUUCUGCAGCGUCCCAUCACAUUCAGGAUAAUAGGAAAGGCAAAGAUGAGAGCUCAUAGGAAGCCCUCCCCAAAGUGCUGAGCCUUGGAAGAUGAAAAACAUGAGUACCAUGCAUGAGAUGGAGAUGACAGUGCACCUCCUUACAAUGAAAUGAGAGCAGGAGGAACCAAGGACAGGAUCUGGAUAGUCCACCAACGAAUGGGCCGUCCUUGUGGAUAUGAACUCAAGUGUCCAUUAACUGAUGAAUGACUAAAAUGCGGUAUAUCCAUACCGUGGAAUACUAUUCAGCCACAAACAAGAAUGAAAUACUAUACCCGCUACAACAUGGAUGAAUCGUGACAAAAUUUUGCCAAAUGAAAGAAGCCAGUCAUAAAAUGUCAUAUAUUGUGUGAUUUUCUUCACAUGAAAUGUCCAGUUGAGGCAAGUAAUGGAGAGACAGAAAGUACUUUUGUGGUUGCCUAGGGGUCAGGGCCUUGAGGGCAUAUGGGGAGACUGCUAAUGGGUCUGGGGUUUCUUUUAGAAGUAAUAUAAAUGUUAUAAAAUUGAUUUGUGGGGCACCUGGCUGGUUCAGUUGGUACAGCACACAAUUCUUGAUCUCAAGGUCGUGAGUUCAAGCCCCACAUUGGGUGUGGAGCCUACUUAAAAAAUAUAAAAUUGAUUAUGAUUGUACAACUUGGUGAAUAUACUAAAAAUCAUUUAAUUCUGUAUUCUAAAGAGAGGUAAAUUGUAUGGUUAUAUGAAUUUUAUCUCAAUAAAGCUAUUGUUUAUAAAAGAUCAUUAUAACAUGUUUAACUUAUAUAAAUAUGUUCAUUCCCUAUUUUAAGUUCUUAAAAUGUCCCAGAAACCAGCUCACAAUUCCCCAAUGCUUUGGGCUGCUCUGAAAAAAAAAAAAUGGUUCCGGACAUAUAGACUGUUUUUAGUCUUAAACAAAAGUACUUCUCUGGAUGAAUAAUUAAACUCAGAAGGUGGUAAACCUUCUCCCUUCUCAGCCUUUUUGUUAAAAUGGGGACUAGGCUCAGGACUUGGCCACUCCAAGUGGCCAAAUAAGUGAUCACUGAAUUUUAGAGCAAGAAGGGGGUCUAGUGACCAGCUAAGAAGCAUCCCAUGAACAGAUUUUUAUCUUGCUAUGGAUUCUACCAAAGCAAAUAAGGGCUUGGAUUCUGAUAGUUUCCUCAAGUGGUAAUUGCAGGAACAACUAAUAAGUGGAGAAAGACACAAAAGGAAGAAAAACCAAUAAAAGAUAUGAUGAAACAUGGGUUGCCUUAAGUGGGCAAUUGGGGCUCAAUCCCACUGGGGACACUCUGUGAAGAUAUGUACAAUAUGUCUCAAAAUUGCCCCAGAGGAGUAUAGGGAGACUGAGGCAUGUAACCACCAGCUCACAUGUCCUCUUAGUUGGGGACUGGUGUCGAAGAGUUAACUCUCCCUCACAUCUGGGCUGUGUCUGCCUGCCAUAGAAGAAGCUUCUGCUGAAGAAAUCCUUCUUCAGGCUUAGAAAAAGAGCAAGGCAGAUGCUUGAGGGGAAAGCCGUCAGCUUUCUGGAACUUUCUACAGCUUUGAGUGAGCUUAGGUGGGCUGUGGAGUUGAGAGGCGGACGAACAACAUCAACUACAGUCUCUUGUGGCAAAGGACACAUAAGAGGGAUGGGAUUUUCACCACUGCUCUGGCUCAAAAGACAAUUUCCAAUUCACCUUUCCUGCCCCAUCUUGAUUAGGAGGUGGAUUUCCCUUCAGUUUCAUCACCCCACAAGUGACAAAGUCCUUUUCUGAUCUGUGGGACUGAUGAGCAUCUAGGACCUCCACCAGUAGCUUGUCCAUAGGAGAUGGAUCCAUGCAGAACAGUGGAGGGGUCUAGGCAGAGUCUCACAGGCAGCAACAAACCUCACUUACAUCCAGGGACUCCACUGUCUGGAGAUUGGUCCAUAAUGAGAGAAAAGGGACAUUUAGGUGUGGAGUCAGUGACCUCAUAGCUUCUUGGCACAUGAAAGGUGCCUACCUUCUUACCACGGUUCUCAGCUUCUCCCUUUCACCUUAUUGAGGCUUAGCUACUGAGAGAACUCAUUCUGCUGACAUCAGUCCAAACCUCUCUGUACUAUAGCCCCCAAUGAUUCGUGGUAAAACAUUAAUUUUGGAAAUUAAUAACGUAAAUUCCACAUCUCAAGGUUAGAAGAAGUCAACAUAAAGCCAAACAAGGUUCCUUACCACAGAAUUUCCAAGAUCCUUCGGUAUGCCUGUAAGCCUUGACGACCCUCAAGGAGAAGUUUCAAGUUCACAGUAUUUCUUAAAACUAUUCUCCCAGAAAAGAUUUUCCCAUAGAUUUUCAUGGAACUAGUGUUCUACAGAAUACACUUGGGCCAACACUGGUAUAGCCCAAUCCAUUUGUUUCACUGAUGAGGAAACUGGAGUCCACAGAAGCAAGGUGACUUGCACAAGUCAUGCUAUAAGAUGCCGAUGGAGCCAGAACUUAAACCCACAAUUUCCAUCUUUCAUAUCUCCGUGCCCUCUGCUCAGUGACAGUACAAUGGUCAUGGUUUCACCUGUGAUGGAAAGCUCCUGAGUUGUCCUUUCCCUGUCCUUUGUGUCUUCGAGAAAUGUCAUCCUCCAUCACUAUCUGAACCAGAGAAAUGAAACAUUUGUGUCAUUCCUAUGGUCAACAACUGUCAACUAGGAGAAGCUAAAUGUGACACGCUCUCACUAAGGAUAUAUAAAUGAGGUUUCUAAGCAGCAAAGAUACUUUCUCCACUCUCUCUUGCCCCCUCUACUAGAUGAAUGCUAAGAACACUGGGACCCUAGGGAGUGGCAAAGCCAUACAAUGGAAAGAAGUCUGCUUUCUUGAACCUGCAUGCAGAGGGAAGCCACUGGCUUACCUGCAAAGAGUCCCACAUGAGCAAGAAAGAAACUUCUAUGAGGAUAAACCACGCCAGCCGAAUGAGCUAUUUUUCACUUCAACUCUCUCCCCGUCUUGCCUGCUGCCACCACCUGGUCUUGUCACCACAACAUUCCUUAACACCCCAGUAGGGAAAAGGCAAACCAGACAGAGGCAGACAGCCCUGGGCCCUAGAGUCUCAAGUCCACCAUCUGAUGAAGUGGCUUUGGGCAGGUUACCAAUCUCUGGGUCAUAAUGGAACAUGCACUGUGAAUAUCGUCAUGAAGCCCCCAUUUCUAAGGAGUGGAACAUGCUCAAGGAAGAGAGCAACUUUCCCCCAGCCUGACAGAAUGCAACAUAAUUGGUUUGUGCCAAACAUGGCAAUUCCAUUCCCUUUUCCCUAUGAUUGACUUGGGAGCUGGCAUGUGACCCAAUUCUGACCAGUGAGACUAAAGAGACAAUCUGUUGAUGAUGUCUUCUCCCAAGAUUUAUGUUUUCUGCUACAAAGAGUAACAGCCAGUUCCCUCCUGCCUGACUUGAAUGUAAUUGCAUGGGAACAUGAUACUUAGAGCUACAGCAGCCAUUCUGUGAUCAUGAGGCAACAAGCCAAAGAGCACAGGAUAAAACAGUGAAAAGAGAGAAUGAUAUCAUUAGAUGAUAUCAUUAAACUGCUGAACCAAUCUGGAACCAAUGACUUCUAGACUUUGAUUAAUUCGUGAGAUGAUUAAAAAUUUCUAUUGUUUUACCCACAA
Felis catus (domestic cat) is the source of this 6031-nucleotide long non-coding RNA. RefSeq lists it as uncharacterized. Lineage: Eukaryota; Metazoa; Chordata; Mammalia; Carnivora; Felidae. The record is from RefSeq and is a predicted model, not a curated record. The transcript is spliced from 16 exons.